GACGAACGCUGGCGGCGUGCUUAACACAUGCAAGUCGAACGAAAAGGCCCUGCUUUUGUGGGGUGCUCGAGUGGCGAACGGGGGAGUAACACGUGAGUAACCUGCCCUUGACUUUGGGAUAACUUCAGGAAACUGGGGCUCUUACCGGAUAGGAUCUACUGCAGCAUGUUGGGGGUUAGAAAGUGUCGGCGGUGGGGGAUGUACUCGAGGCUUAUGAGCUUGUUGGUGGGGUAGUUGCUUACCAGGGCUUUGACGGGUAGCCGGCCUGAGAGGGGGAACGGGCACCAUGGGCCUGCGGGACGGAGCAGAAGCCUACCUGACGCAGUAGUGGGGAACUUGGCAGAAUGAGCGGACGCCAGAGGUAGCAACGUCGCGUGCGUAAUGAUGGGUUUCGGGUGGUAAACAGAUUUGGAAGGUGCUGUGGACGUCGUGACGGUAACUGGUCAGGAAGCCACGGCUAACUACGUG
RNAcentral lists this ribosomal RNA (468 nucleotides) under uncultured bacterium. RNAcentral's name for it is "partial 16S ribosomal RNA". It matches the Rfam family "Bacterial small subunit ribosomal RNA", at positions 28 to 507 of the family's 1533-position model. The record is from RNAcentral.